GAUUAAAUGAUUUGUCUGAGACUGAGAAAGUAGCUUUGUCCAUAAUCCAACUCUACUGACUUCCAAUUCAGGUCUUUCUACUUUAUCCUAAGAUGUAUAUUCAGGGAAAAUUACUAUUUGUCAACUUUAUUUUCAAUGGUUAUGGCACAUCUGCUAAGGAUCUUCAAAAGCAAACUGUGAAGACAAGGAGUGAUUAUCAUAUGGGAUAUUUCCUACCCAAUGACUUCAAGAUCCGGGCUCAACCUACUUCGUGUUUUGAAAAUAAGGAUACAUUUCUCUAAAAACAAAACCGACAUAACAAAAACAACCCAGCCAAAGAAAUUCUUGGCAUCAUGUGGUAUCCAACUCAAAUAGAGAGUACUAUAGAAAAAGC
Molecule: non-coding RNA, 373 nt
Organism: Odocoileus virginianus texanus
Lineage: Eukaryota; Metazoa; Chordata; Mammalia; Artiodactyla; Cervidae
Source: RefSeq, a predicted model, not a curated record